Molecule: ribosomal RNA, 1016 nt
Filed under: uncultured bacterium
Lineage: Bacteria
Description: bacterial SSU rRNA
Rfam family: Bacterial small subunit ribosomal RNA
Source: RNAcentral
AGGAAUAUUGGUCAAUGGACGAGAGUCUGAACCAGCCAAGUAGCGUGAAGGAUGACUGCCCUAUGGGUUGUAAACUUCUUUUAUACGGGAAUAAAGUGAGGCACGUGUGCCUUUUUGUAUGUACCGUAUGAAUAAGGAUCGGCUAACUCCGUGCCAGCAGCCGCGGUAAUACGGAGGAUCCGAGCGUUAUCCGGAUUUAUUGGGUUUAAAGGGAGCGUAGGCGGACGCUUAAGUCAGUUGUGAAAGUUUGCGGCUCAACCGUAAAAUUGCAGUUGAUACUGGGUGCCUUGAGUACAGUAGAGGCAGGCGGAAUUCGUGGUGUAGCGGUGAAAUGCUUAGAUAUCACGAAGAACUCCGAUUGCGAAGGCAGCUUGCUGGACUGUAACUGACGCUGAUGCUCGAAAGUGUGGGUAUCAAACAGGAUUAGAUACCCUGGUAGUCCACACAGUAAACGAUGAAUACUCGCUGUUUGCGAUAUACAGUAAGCGGCCAAGCGAAAGCGUUAAGUAUUCCACCUGGGGAGUACGCCGGCAACGGUGAAACUCAAAGGAAUUGACGGGGGCCCGCACAAGCGGAGGAACAUGUGGUUUAAUUCGAUGAUACGCGAGGAACCUUACCCGGGCUUGAAUUGCAACUGAAUGAUGUGGAGACAUGUCAGCCGCAAGGCAGUUGUGAAGGUGCUGCAUGGUUGUCGUCAGCUCGUGCCGUGAGGUGUCGGCUUAAGUGCCAUAACGAGCGCAACCCUUAUCGAUAGUUACCAUCAGGUUAUGCUGGGGACUCUGUCGAGACUGCCGUCGUAAGAUGUGAGGAAGGUGGGGAUGACGUCAAAUCAGCACGGCCCUUACGUCCGGGGCUACACACGUGUUACAAUGGGGGGUACAGAAGGCAGCUACACGGCGACGUGAUGCUAAUCCCGAAAGCCUCUCUCAGUUCGGAUUGGAGUCUGCAACCCGACUCCAUGAAGCUGGAUUCGCUAGUAAUCGCGCAUCAGCCACGGCGCGGUGAAUACGUUCCCG